RNAcentral lists this ribosomal RNA (479 nucleotides) under uncultured bacterium. Its description in RNAcentral is "partial 16S ribosomal RNA". It matches the Rfam family "Bacterial small subunit ribosomal RNA", at positions 28 to 508 of the family's 1533-position model. The record is from RNAcentral.
GAUGAACGCUAGCGGGAGGCCUAACACAUGCAAGCCGAGCGGUAUUGUUUCUUCGGAAAUGAGAGAGCGGCGUACGGGUGCGUAACACGUGUGCAACCUGCCUUUAUCUGGGGGAUAGCCUUUCGAAAGGAAGAUUAAUACUCCAUAAUAUAUUGAACGGCAUCGUUUAAUAUUGAAAGCUCCGGCGGAUAGAGAUGGGCACGCGCAAGAUUAGCUAGUUGGUGAGGUAACGGCUCACCAAGGCGAUGAUCUUUAGGGGGCCUGAGAGGGUGAUCCCCCACAGUGGGAGAGACACCCGGACAACACCCCUGCGGGAGGCAGAAGGGAGGAAUAUGGUCAAGGGGGUACAGGCAUGACCCCCCCCUCCCGGUGGAGAGACCCCUCCCAUGGGGUUUUUAAACUUUUUUUGUAGAGAAAAAACCCCCCCCUCGGGGGGGUACCGAAGGAUAAUAAACAAAAAAACCCCGCCUAGCUCCGGC